This is a long non-coding RNA of Sardina pilchardus (European sardine), 154 nucleotides long. RefSeq lists it as uncharacterized. The transcript has 3 exons. Lineage: Eukaryota; Metazoa; Chordata; Actinopteri; Clupeiformes; Clupeidae. The record is from RefSeq and is a predicted model, not a curated record.
GGAGGAGAUGCCCAAGUGAGGUGUCCCCGCGGUCCAUGCCCACAGCCCUCCGAGUUGAUUUGCCCGCCGGGAUGGUCAGGGUUUGAGAGCCGCUGCUUUCGGUUUGUUCCUUCUGAGACAACUUGGGCCAAUGCUGAGCGCAACUGUAUGGCCA